This 74-nucleotide transfer RNA is filed under the name Acidobacteriota bacterium. RNAcentral describes it as "tRNA-Ala". It matches the Rfam family "tRNA". Rfam says of the family: Transfer RNA (tRNA) molecules are approximately 80 nucleotides in length. Their secondary structure includes four short double-helical elements and three loops (D, anti-codon, and T loops). Further hydrogen bonds mediate the characteristic L-shaped molecular structure. tRNAs have two regions of fundamental functional importance: the anti-codon, which is responsible for specific mRNA codon recognition, and the 3' end, to which the tRNAs corresponding amino acid is attached (by aminoacyl-tRNA synthetases). tRNAs cope with the degeneracy of the genetic code in two manners: having more than one tRNA (with a specific anti-codon) for a particular amino acid; and 'wobble' base-pairing, i.e. permitting non-standard base-pairing at the 3rd anti-codon position. Lineage: Bacteria; Pseudomonadati; Acidobacteriota. The record is from RNAcentral.
GGGGCUAUAGCUCAGUUUGGCAGAGCGCUGCAAUGGCAUUGCAGAGGUCGUCGGUUCGAGCCCGACUAGCUCCA